This 55-nucleotide ribosomal RNA is filed under the name Eimeria tenella. RNAcentral's name for it is "partial small subunit ribosomal RNA (SSUA)". Lineage: Eukaryota; Apicomplexa; Conoidasida; Eucoccidiorida; Eimeriidae. The record is from RNAcentral.
GACAAAGUCCCAGCAGUAGCGGUCAUACUAUUGAAGAGCCGAGUGUUAUCCAUCC